AGGACGAACGCUGGCGGCGUGCCUAACACAUGCAAGUCGAGCGGGGACAUUGCGACGGAGGCGAAGUACUCGUACGGAGUCAAAGAUGUAAUGUUCUAGCGGCGGACGGGUGAGUAACGCGUGAGCAACCUGUCCCUUACAGGGGGAUAACACAGCGAAAGUUGUACUAAUACCGCAUAAGACCACAGGAUGACAUCGUCCAGGGGUCAAAGGAGCAAUCCGGUAAGGGGUGGGCUCGCGUCCGAUUAGAUAGUUGGUGAGGUAACGGCCCACCAAGUCGACGAUCGGUAGCCGACCUGAGAGGGUGAUCGGCCACAUUGGGACUGAGACACGGCCCAAACUCCUACGGGAGGCAGCAGUGGGGAAUAUUGGGCAAUUGGGGGGAAACCCUGACCCAGCAACGCCGCGUGAGGGAAGAAGGUUUUCGGAUCGUAAACCUCUGUCCCAGGUGAAGAGGAAGAGACGGUAGCCUGGGAGGAAGCCCCGGCUAACUACGUGCCAGCCGCCGC
This 509-nucleotide ribosomal RNA is filed under the name uncultured bacterium. RNAcentral describes it as "bacterial SSU rRNA". It matches the Rfam family "Bacterial small subunit ribosomal RNA", at positions 26 to 518 of the family's 1533-position model. The record is from RNAcentral.